Molecule: long non-coding RNA, 655 nt
Filed under: Oryza sativa (Asian cultivated rice)
Lineage: Eukaryota; Viridiplantae; Streptophyta; Magnoliopsida; Poales; Poaceae
Description: long non-coding RNA (OSAT_LNC000451)
Source: RNAcentral
ACAUAUUAAUAUAUUUUCUCAAAUUUUUUCAUAACCAUUUGAGUAACAUACAAACAACAAGGAGACAUCCCCUCGAGAGUUUAAAAUAGUUUCCCCGUAUUACCCAGUUUGGAGGAAACCAGAAAUAUUUUAGGCCAUAGCCAUGAUACAAGGUGAAACGGUUUUAUUUCAGAAUCUGGUUACAAGAGACUUGAAUUUCCUUUACUACAACGGAACUAAAUUCAACACGAAUAAAUCUACAGACAAUUUAAUGAAACAAUCAAUAACUUUCCGACACCUUGUAAUCACAUCAACCCCUGAGCCCAACGUCCAUCAGCAUGAGCAACUUUAUUCUCCUUAAUAUCGUGUGUUGCAGUCUCAGUUAAUCGCUCGUCUGAGGUGAUGAGCAGCCGCAGAGGAGCUGCCAGAUGCUCUUCUUGACGUUGUUACGCUUGGACUUCCCCAUUCUUGCUCCAGGAAUAUCCGAGCUGCACAAGCUCUAAUGCUCCAAAUGAAAUGCUCCUGUAAACAAAGGAACCAAUUGAAAAUCUCCUACAAAAUUACGCGAAGAUGAAAGAAAUAUACACAGCUAAAUAGCAAAAAGGAACCAGCAGAGUAAAAAUAGAAUGCUAUUGUAACCUCCAGUUAACUUCUUCAGGAAUCAGGGGAUGUCAAG